This 69-nucleotide transfer RNA is filed under the name Bos taurus (domestic cattle). It matches the Rfam family "tRNA". Rfam says of the family: Transfer RNA (tRNA) molecules are approximately 80 nucleotides in length. Lineage: Eukaryota; Metazoa; Chordata; Mammalia; Artiodactyla; Bovidae. The record is from Rfam by way of RNAcentral. RNAcentral also lists the same sequence under 4 other names.
CCUGGUGGCUCAGCUGGUAAAGAAUCUGCCUGCAAUGCAGGAGACCCAGGUUCAAUCCCUGGGUCAGGA